Molecule: ribosomal RNA, 258 nt
Filed under: uncultured bacterium
Lineage: Bacteria
Description: partial 16S ribosomal RNA
Rfam family: Bacterial small subunit ribosomal RNA
Source: RNAcentral
UACGUAGGGUGCAAGCGUUGUCCGGAAUUAUUGGGCGUAAAGAGCUCGUAGGCGGUUUGUCGCGUCUGCUGUGAAAACUCGGGGCUUAACCCCGGGCCUGCAGUGGGUACGGGCAGACUAGAGUGCGGUAGGGGGAGACUGGAAUUCCUGGUGUAGCGGUGAAAAUGCGCAGAUAUCAGGAGGAACACCGGUGGCGAAGGCGGGUCUCUGGGCCGUAACUGACGCUGAGGAGCGAAAAGCGUGGGGGAGCGAAACAGG